UCUUCGGGAGACGUCUCGUUCUCAGAGGCCUAAAAGAUGAUUCUCUGUCUUUUGAACUGUUCUGCCUCGGAGUCGACUCGGGCCUUGUUGGAGUCGACUCGGCUAACUUGGGAGUCGACUCUGAAGUACUUGGAGUCGACUCGUUCACAGGAUCUCCAAGACUGAGUCUCUGCCUUUCAGACUAUUUUUCUCUAGGAGUCGACUCGAACAAACUGGGAGUCGACUCGGCUAAUGUGGAAGAUUCUGCAGUCUCAUUGUUAGUAUGCAAUUGAAGCAUAUGUGAGCUAAUCUGAGAUUUAUCAUAAAU
RNAcentral lists this long non-coding RNA (307 nucleotides) under Phoenix dactylifera (date palm). RNAcentral describes it as "long non-coding RNA (PDAC_LNC011100)". Lineage: Eukaryota; Viridiplantae; Streptophyta; Magnoliopsida; Arecales; Arecaceae. The record is from RNAcentral.